This 65-nucleotide small RNA is filed under the name Salix viminalis (osier). The record is from RNAcentral. Lineage: Eukaryota; Viridiplantae; Streptophyta; Magnoliopsida; Malpighiales; Salicaceae.
GCUGAGAUGGUCUACAGCCUGCGCCAUUAUGGAAGAGGGAGUGGGUUCAAAUCCCAUUUUCAGCA